Molecule: ribosomal RNA, 396 nt
Filed under: uncultured soil bacterium
Lineage: Bacteria
Description: bacterial SSU rRNA
Rfam family: Bacterial small subunit ribosomal RNA
Source: RNAcentral
AGAGCGAACGCUGGCGGCAGGCCUAACACAUGCAAGUCGAACGGACUCUUCGGAGUUAGUGGCGGACGGGUGAGUAACACGUGGGAACGUGCCUUUUGGUUCGGAAUAGCUCCUGGAAACGGGUGGUAAUGCCGAAUGUGCCUUCGGGGGAAAGAUUUAUCGCCAUUAGAGCGGCCCGCGUCUGAUUAGCUAGUUGGUGAGGUAAAGGCUCACCAAGGCGACGAUCAGUAGCUGGUCUGAGAGGAUGAUCAGCCGCACGUGGACUGAGACACGGCCCAGACUCCUACGGGAGGCAGCAGUGGGAAUAUUGGACAAUGGGACGAAAGCCUAGAUCCAGCAAUGCCGCGUGAGUGAUGGAAGGUCCGUUAGGUUAGUAAAGCUUACGUUUUACCCGUG